ACUGGGUUUUCACUGCCACAUCCGUCAAUCAGUUUCAAUCACUUGCCAAUCAGGUUAACAGAACCAGAAGAGGGGCUUUGUGCUCUAUUUAAAAAAUUAUAUGUACCUCAUUGGAAUGUUAUUAAUCUAUGAGUUUAUACUACGAGAAAUUCUUCUUGUUCUACACGCUUGAGCCUCUGAUGGUCAUGAAUCACUGCUAAUCUCUUAGAAACAUAUUUCUCCAGAUAACAUCAGUUCCUCUCAGAAUACAAAGAGGAGAGGAUUGCAUUUCUUUUAUGCUUCUGCUGAGAAAAAAUGUAGACAUUUCCUUGAGACAGAAGAAGUUAAGAUCACUUGGGGUUGAUACCUGGCUCAUAAACAGGCAGUUCUUUGUGUAUAAACCCAACUGACCCAAAGCAGCAUAUGGCUUGUUCCUUGUAGUAAUUGUGUGUUAAGACAAAACUUCCCAUAUUUUUCCUUUACUCACAUUUGCUAGUCACCACUAAACUGAACAAAAUCUAUCUCCUUUGACAGAGUGGUAACUUAUUCUUUGAUGAUAGUUUAUAGUAAUCUCUGAAAAUAUGAUACAUAAUAAUGCUAAUACUAUGAGAAUAUUUAUCCUGGGUGUUAUUUAACUAGUUAUGAAAGCACUUGAAGUUUUA
This 641-nucleotide long non-coding RNA is filed under the name Homo sapiens (human). RNAcentral describes it as "non-protein coding lnc-C15orf41-17:1". The record is from RNAcentral. Lineage: Eukaryota; Metazoa; Chordata; Mammalia; Primates; Hominidae.